UACGUAGGGGGCUAGCGUUGUCCGGAAUCAUUGGGCGUAAAGCGCUCGCAGGUGGCCCGAUGCGUCGUGCGUGAAAGCCCCCGGCUCAACUGGGGAGUGUCGUGCGAUACGGUCGGGCUGGAGGCCAGUAGGGGGAUGCGGAAUUCCGGGUGUAGUGGUGGAAUGCGUAGAGAUCCGGAGGAACACCAGCGGCGAAGGCGGCAUCCUGGACUGGUCCUGACACUCAGGAGCGAAAGCGUGGGGAGCGAUCCGG
RNAcentral lists this ribosomal RNA (253 nucleotides) under uncultured bacterium. RNAcentral describes it as "partial 16S ribosomal RNA". It matches the Rfam family "Bacterial small subunit ribosomal RNA", at positions 524 to 776 of the family's 1533-position model. The record is from RNAcentral.